AGGGGCCAAACCUGUUAAGCAAAGGAAGAGACAGUUUGCGCCGGAAAGACGUGUGGUCAUUCAGGAAGAGGUCGGCAAAUUGAUGGAAGUGGGGUUCAUAAGGGAAGUCCAAUAUCCCGAUUGGCUCGCUAAUGUUGUUCUUGUGAAAAAGGCCAGUGGUAAAUGGAGGGUCUGUAUUGAUUUCACAGAUCUUAAUAAGGCGUGCGCAAAAGACAGCUACCCGCUACCCAGGAUUGACAAUCUUGUGGAUAGCACAUCCGGACAUAAGCUGUACAGCUUCUUAGAUGCAUUCUCAGGGUAUCAUCAAAUCCUCAUGGCUGAAGAAGACCAAGAGAAGACGUCAUUCAUGGCCGAUUCAGCCAUAUAUUGCUAUAGGGUGAUGCCAUUUGGGUUGAAAAAUGCUGGGGCGACAUAUCAGAGGCCCAUCAACAAAGUCUUCGCCGAUUUGAUAGGAAAGAACAUCGAGGCCUAUGUGGACGACAUGGUUGUAAACAGUAAGAAGGUAGAGCAACACAUAUCCAACCUAGAUGAGGUGUUCGUCACCCUACGA
RNAcentral lists this long non-coding RNA (550 nucleotides) under Olea europaea subsp. europaea. Lineage: Eukaryota; Viridiplantae; Streptophyta; Magnoliopsida; Lamiales; Oleaceae. The record is from RNAcentral.